GAUGAACGCUGGCGGCGUGCCUAACACAUGCAAGUCGAGCGGACGGACGAGACGCUUUCCUCUCUGAUGUUACCGGCGGAUGGGUGAGUAACACGUGGCUAACCUACCUAUGAUACUGCGCUAACUUCGGGAAUCCUACCCUAAUACCGGCCACUAUUUUGAACCGCAUGGUUCAAAAGUGAAAGACGGUCUUGCUGUCACUUAUAGAUGGAUCCGUGCUGCAUUAGCUAGUUGCUAGGGUAACGGCUUACCAAGGCCACGAUGCAUAGCCGACCUGAGAGAGUGAUCGGCCACACUGGAACGGGGACACGGUCCAGACUCCUGAGGGAGGCAGCAGUAGGGAAUGUGCGGCAAUAGGCGAAAGCCUGACGGAGCGACGCCGCGUGAGUGAUGAAGGUCUUCCGAUCGUAAAGCUGUGUUAUUAGGGAAGAACAUAUGUGUAAGGAACUGUGCACAUCUUGACGGUACCUAAAGAGAAAGCGACGGCUAACUACGUG
Molecule: ribosomal RNA, 497 nt
Filed under: uncultured bacterium
Lineage: Bacteria
Description: partial 16S ribosomal RNA
Rfam family: Bacterial small subunit ribosomal RNA
Source: RNAcentral